AUGCACGCUGGCGGCGUGCUUAACCCAUGCAAGUCGAACGGGAAUUAUUUUAUUGAAACUUCGGUCGAUUUAAUUUAAUUCUAGUGGCGGACGGGUGAGUAACGCGUGGGUAACCUGCCUUAUACAGGGGGAUAACAGUCAGAAAUGGCUGCUAAUACCGCAUAAGCGCACAGAGCUGCAUGGCUCAGUGUGAAAAACUCCGGUGGUAUAAGAUGGACCCGCGUUGGAUUAGCUGGUUGGUGGGGUAACGGCCCACCAAGGCGACGAUCCAUAGCCGGCCUGAGAGGGUGAACGGCCACAUUGGGACUGAGACACGGCCCAGACUCCUACGGGAGGCAGCAGUGGGGAAUAUUGCACAAUGGGGGAAACCCUGAUGCAGCGACGCCGCGUGAAGGAAGAAGUAUCUCGGUAUGUAAACUUCUAUCAGCAGGGAAGAUAGUGACGGUACCUGACUAAGAAGCCCCGGCUAACUACGUG
RNAcentral lists this ribosomal RNA (477 nucleotides) under uncultured bacterium. RNAcentral's name for it is "partial 16S ribosomal RNA". It matches the Rfam family "Bacterial small subunit ribosomal RNA", at positions 29 to 507 of the family's 1533-position model. The record is from RNAcentral.